UGAACGCUGGCGGCAGGCCUAACACAUGCAAGUCGAGCGGUAGCACAGAGAGCUUGCUCUCGGGUGACGAGCGGCGGACGGGUGAGUAAUGUCUGGGAAACUGCCUGAUGGAGGGGGAUAACUACUGGAAACGGUAGCUAAUACCGCAUAAUGUCGCAAGACCAAAGUGGGGGACCUUCGGGCCUCAUGCCAUCAGAUGUGCCCAGAUGGGAUUAGCUAGUAGGUGGGGUAACGGCUCACCUAGGCGACGAUCCCUAGCUGGUCUGAGAGGAUGACCAGCCACACUGGAACUGAGACACGGUCCACACUCCUACGGGAGGCAGCAGUGGGGAAUAUUGCACAAUGGGCGCAAGCCUGAUGCAGCCAUGCCGCGUGUGUGAAGAAGGCCUUCGGGUUGUAAAGCACUUUCAGCGGGGAGGAAGGCGUUAAGGUUAAUAACCUUGGCGAUUGACGUUACCCGCAGAAGAAGCACCGGCUAACUCCGUGCCAGCAGCCGCGGUAAUACGGAGGGUGCAAGCGUUAAUCGGAAUUACUGGGCGUAAAGCGCACGCAGGCGGUCUGUCAAGUCGGAUGUGAAAUCCCCGGGCUCAACCUGGGAACUGCAUUCGAAACUGGCAGGCUAGAGUCUUGUAGAGGGGGGUAGAAUUCCAGGUGUAGCGGUGAAAUGCGUAGAGAUCUGGAGGAAUACCGGUGGCGAAGGCGGCCCCCUGGACAAAGACUGACGCUCAGGUGCGAAAGCGUGGGGAGCAAACAGGAUUAGAUACCCUGGUAGUCCACGCCGUAAACGAUGUCGAUUUGGAGGUUGUGCCCUUGAGGCGUGGCUUCCGGAGCUAACGCGUUAAAUCGACCGCCUGGGGAGUACGGCCGCAAGGUUAAAACUCAAAUGAAUUGACGGGGGCCCGCACAAGCGGUGGAGCAUGUGGUUUAAUUCGAUGCAACGCGAAGAACCUUACCUGGUCUUGACAUCCACAGAACUUUCCAGAGAUGGAUUGGUGCCUUCGGGAACUGUGAGACAGGUGCUGCAUGGCUGUCGUCAGCUCGUGUUGUGAAAUGUUGGGUUAAGUCCCGCAACGAGCGCAACCCUUAUCCUUUGUUGCCAGCGGUUCGGCCGGGAACUCAAAGGAGACUGCCAGUGAUAAACUGGAGGAAGGUGGGGAUGACGUCAAGUCAUCAUGGCCCUUACGACCAGGGCUACACACGUGCUACAAUGGCAUAUACAAAGAGAAGCGACCUCGCGAGAGCAAGCGGACCUCAUAAAGUAUGUCGUAGUCCGGAUUGGAGUCUGCAACUCGACUCCAUGAAGUCGGAAUCGCUAGUAAUCGUAGAUCAGAAUGCUACGGUGAAUACGUUCCCGGGCCUUGUACACACCGCCCGUCACACCAUGGGAGUGGGUUGCAAAAGAAGUAGGUAGCUUAACCUUCGGGAGGGCGCUUACCACUUUGUGAUUCAUGACUGGGGUG
RNAcentral lists this ribosomal RNA (1460 nucleotides) under uncultured organism. RNAcentral describes it as "SSU rRNA". It matches the Rfam family "Bacterial small subunit ribosomal RNA". The record is from RNAcentral.